Molecule: transfer RNA, 59 nt
Filed under: Spinibdella lignicola
Lineage: Eukaryota; Metazoa; Arthropoda; Arachnida; Trombidiformes; Bdellidae
Description: tRNA-Tyr
Source: RNAcentral
UAAUGUAACUCUAGUGUUUUAAAAUUGUAAAUUUUAUUAAAUAAGGAGUAAUAUUUUAU